Gorilla gorilla gorilla (western lowland gorilla) is the source of this 2138-nucleotide long non-coding RNA. RefSeq lists it as uncharacterized. The record is from RefSeq and is a predicted model, not a curated record. NCBI's taxonomy places the organism in Eukaryota, Metazoa, Chordata, Mammalia, Primates, Hominidae. The transcript has 2 exons.
UAUCAUUCCCCCCAUACCUCUAUUUUUAGGUUUGUAUCUACUCUUAAUUUUUGUAUUUCUGGAUCAGGGUGUUUUCCAUAUCCCCAAAUACUUGUUUGAGUAUAUUUCAUACAGCUUAGAGUUUUGUGUUAUGGGUUUCUUCAGUUUUAUAGUUGGUUUUUGGAGAAAGUUUUCAACACAGUAAUGCUUUGACUUGUGUUUUGUGAUUUUUUAAAUAGUUUUAUGUGGUUGUGGUUUGCUUUCUGUCUAUGCCAAUUCAUUUCAUGAACAGCGAUCCUAGUUUGAGAACAUUCUCUUACGUCUUAUGUCAAUUAUGCCUUCUUCUAUGCAGUUUCUUUUGUGGAAAAGGGAAGGAUUGGUAUGUCUUAUUUCUCUUUUGUUUCUGUAGUAUCCUUAAUUUUUUCCUUUUAUUUCCUUACCUACUUCUUAUUGUCUUGUAUUCAACUAAUGCUACCAUUUUUCUUUGUACCUGCUACUCCCCACAAAGUAACCAUCUUGGGGCUGCCUCAUCUGGUUUCACACUUUUUUUUUAACUUUUAUUUUAGGUGUGGGGGCACAUGUGAAGGUUUUUUACAUAGGUAAACAUGUCCCUGGGGUUUAUUGUACAUAUUAUUUCAUCACCCAGGUAUUAAGCCCAGUACCCAAUACUUAUCUUUUCUGCUUCUCUCCCUCCUCCCACUCUCCCCCCUCCUCCUCAACUAGACCCCAGUGUCUAUUGUUUCCUUCUUUGGGUUUUACACAUUUUCAAGCCCCUUCCCUAUAAUUAGUGCCAUAAGCUAUCAAGGCCCAGCCUAUAUUCAGUAUUUUGCCAUUUGUUGUUGGACUGGCACUUUCUGGAAGUGCUUCUGUCUACAUGUUAUCCAAGUUCUUUGCUCCUCUCUAUUCUUUUUCAUGAAAUCUCUUAAACCUCUCCCUCUUCACUCCUUGCCCUCACAGGUUUUCAAUGGCAGAAGAACCAUGGUAGUCCAUUAUAAUUUUAUUCCCCUUUACUUACAGAUAACUUGAAGGUCAUGAUGUUCUGUUUUCUAGUUAUGCUGACGACUCAAAUCAGGUAUGCCCUUGUUGAGCUCUCUUCAGAUCCUUCCUUCCUAACUUCCUUCCUGAAACAAUGCAGUUGUCAAAAGCAGGUCAUGAUCUUUGUUCCUUCAGUGAUCUGAUGCCAACCUUGAGGCUCGUGGACCCUACAUCCUCACUGAAGACUGUUUGAUGGCUGGGGUUUCUUUCUUUCUUUUUUUUUUUUGAGACAGAGUCUCACUCUGUCGCCCAGGCUGGAGUGCAGUGACACCAUCUCGGCUCACUGCAAGCUCUGCCUCCCGGGUUCACACCAUUCUCCUCCCUCAGCCUCCCGAGUAGCUAGGGCUACAGGUACCCACCACCAUGCCUGGCUAAUUUUUUGUAUUUUUAGUAGAGACGGGGUUUCACUGUGUUAGCCAGGAUGGUCUCGAUCUCCUGACCUCGUGAUCUGCCUGCCUCGGCCUCCCAAAGUGCUGGGAUUACAGGCGUGAGCCAGCAUGCCUGGCCAAUGGCUGGGGUUUCUUAAUUAAUGAAUUAUCACACUGAUACAGAAACUUAAACUUACAGACUUGAUUUGUGUUUAAUUAAUAUAGACUUAUUUGUUUGUCUGACCUGGAAAUGCAUUUUGGACAUUGUUGACAUAUUCCCAAGGCCAAAGACAAGAGAAAUAUAAAAAUAAUAAUUUAGAAUGAACAGCUUCCAAUCACUGCAAACAAAAAUGAUGGCUCUUGGCAUUAUUAUUUACAUUUCAAUACAACCAUUGCUGUAGGAUACCCAGCACAAUUAAGCCUCUAGGGACACAUUCAACCAGCGCACACUUUUUGUAUCAGAAAAAUCGAAUCAAUAUACAGUGAGGUUCUGUAUUAACAUGAAAUUUAGGAGGCAUUUAUGCUAAGCUCAAAAAUCUAAUUAGUAGUUUCCUGUUUAGAGGAUAGUGCCUGUUUAUUACAUUUUCAGUUCACCUGGAUCUGUAAUCAGUUCUCAGGCUUGUUUUCCAUUCAAAUGGUAACAGUUUACCUUUCAUCCCCAACUCUCCACAUAAGGACUCAGGAACCAAAUGUACCAGAAACAAAUGGCACUGAGGAUUCAAAAUGAGGACUUUAAUUAAAAUGCUUAGGUCCCUA